UUGAAUAACUUGGUGUUGAGCUGGCCCUAUUGGGCAUGUGCUCGCAUCAUAUUAUUUAUCUAUCUCUUGUGCACCUUUUGUAGUCUUUGGAGCACUCGCAGUGAAUGCGGUUUUGGGGCUUGGGCUUUGCUGCCCUUUUCCCUGUUUGCUUCAAAGGCUAUGUUUUAUACACACUAUUGAAGUUACAGAAUGUCUCUUAUUGACUUUGAGUCAGUAAAUCUAUA
Molecule: unclassified non-coding RNA, 224 nt
Filed under: uncultured Mycena
Lineage: Eukaryota; Fungi; Basidiomycota; Agaricomycetes; Agaricales; Tricholomataceae
Description: sequence contains ITS1
Source: RNAcentral